RNAcentral lists this ribosomal RNA (182 nucleotides) under uncultured bacterium. RNAcentral describes it as "partial 16S ribosomal RNA". It matches the Rfam family "Bacterial small subunit ribosomal RNA", at positions 1318 to 1500 of the family's 1533-position model. The record is from RNAcentral.
GCGUGAAGUUGGAAUUGCUGUAAUCGCGGAUCAGCAUGCCGCGGUGAAUACGUUCCCGGGCCUUGUACACACCGCCCGUCACACCAUGGAAGUCGGUAAUGCCCGAAGUCAGUAGCCUAACCGCAAGGAGGGCGCUGCCGAAGGCAGGAUUGAUGACUGGGGUGAAGUCGUAACAAGGUAGC